RNAcentral lists this ribosomal RNA (408 nucleotides) under uncultured bacterium. RNAcentral's name for it is "partial 16S ribosomal RNA". It matches the Rfam family "Bacterial small subunit ribosomal RNA", at positions 28 to 526 of the family's 1533-position model. The record is from RNAcentral.
GACGAACGCUGGCGGCGUGCUUAACACAUGCAAGUCGAACGGAGUGGCGAACGGGUGAGUAACACGUGGGUGAUCUGCCUUGCACUUCGGGAUAAGCUUGGGAAACUGGGUCUAAUACCGGAUAGUGCAAGAUGAGCUCGCGGCCUAUCAGCUUGUUGGUGGGGUAAUGGCCUACCAAGGCGUCGACGGGUAGCCGGCCUGAGAGGGUGUACGGGCAAAGUGGGAAUGGGCUUCGGGCCCGACCCCCACGGGGGGCAGGAGGGGGGAAUAUUGCAAAAUUGGCGGAAGCCUGAAGGAGGGACGCCGGGUGGGGGAUGAAGGCCUUCGGGUUGUAAACUCCUUUCGACAGGGACGCGGUACCUGUAUAAGAAGCACCGGCUAACUACGUGCCAGCCGCCGCGGUAAUAC